Molecule: transfer RNA, 72 nt
Filed under: Actinomycetota bacterium
Lineage: Bacteria; Bacillati; Actinomycetota
Description: tRNA-Arg
Rfam family: tRNA
About the family: Transfer RNA (tRNA) molecules are approximately 80 nucleotides in length.
Source: RNAcentral
GGCCCCGUAGCUCAGUGGAUAGAGCGGCAGGCUUCGAACCUGCGAGCGGAGGUUCGACUCCUCCCGGGGCCA